AGAAGAAAAAGAAAGGGGGGAAAAAGAGAGAGAAAAUUUAGUUACCAUCACCCUUAGUUAGGAGUCCAAGAACCCGAGGAUUGAGUGCUAAAAUAUGUCAAAUUAGUUAAAGGACUAAGAAGAAGAAGUAUAUGUUUGGAGAGUUGAUUUGGUGGCUAGAAAGUGAUGCAAAAUGAGUUGGUGAAAGGAGCACACCAAUAAAAUCCGCACUUCAUUGGUUUAUACGUCAAGCUAAUGACGUGAAACAAGCGCUUUUGGGAGGCAACCCAAUUUUCUUACCCUUUUUACUUGUGUAUGUGUGAUUUUUGUGUCAUUUGCAUAUUUGGCUUAUGUUUUGCAUGUGUGUCUUUUGCAUUUUUUGUGAUUUUUGAGUUGUAAUUUUGUUUUUGUUGUUGGUAUAUGUGUGUUUUAUGUUAGUUGUAGCUUGGUUUGUGUAUAAGUGCUUUGAAAGAGUGUCAAUUGCCUAAAAUCAUAAAGUGAAAGACAAAUUUUUGCAGAGUAGUUGAGCUGCGGCUGGGUUGCCGCUUGAGCAGUAGCCUGGCUGUGGUUGAGCGCCACACCAGUAAAUCUGGUUUUAAGUUGUUUUUCUGAUACGCCGCUCGAGCGGUAGCUGGGCGGUAGCCGGGCGGCAGCGCUGUAGAAUUUUUUUGGCCUUGACACGUUUUUGUUGUUUGUUUUGAGUUUUUCUUUUCUUUGCACUCUUUCACACAUUCCUUUUAGUGUGUUUUUGGACAUUUCUAUUCAGUUGUUGACUAUGGAAUACUAAUCUCACUUUGAGCUCACUUUGUGCAAGAUAACAUCUUUCUUAAAACUUUAAAGGUGUCAAAACCAUCAUUGGUCAUCCUUUGAGGCAUGCAUGAGCUGAGCAGCCUAUGACUUGAAGAUUUUGCUGCUCGUGUAGAAUGGCCUGGGGGCCAAGCCCCUACUGAUGGGGGAGGUGGAGCAGUUGCGGAGUAUAAGCUACUGUGAGGAGGAAGAUGUUUCAGAUGAUAAGUGAAGCUAGUGUCCUACACUACUGGAGCUGCAAAGAGUCCAUUUUAAUCGGUUUUUCAGUUUUAAUUUCAAGUUUUUAUUUGCUUUCAGUUUUUAGUUUUUGGAUUUAUUUUUGACUUGCCUAGUGGAUA
This 1124-nucleotide long non-coding RNA is filed under the name Vigna radiata. Its description in RNAcentral is "long non-coding RNA (VRAD_LNC015264)". Lineage: Eukaryota; Viridiplantae; Streptophyta; Magnoliopsida; Fabales; Fabaceae. The record is from RNAcentral.